This 759-nucleotide ribosomal RNA is filed under the name Caulobacteraceae bacterium. Its description in RNAcentral is "bacterial SSU rRNA". It matches the Rfam family "Bacterial small subunit ribosomal RNA", at positions 29 to 834 of the family's 1533-position model. The record is from RNAcentral. Lineage: Bacteria; Pseudomonadati; Pseudomonadota; Alphaproteobacteria; Caulobacterales; Caulobacteraceae.
GCGAACGCUGGCGGCAGGCCUAACACAUGCAAGUCGAACGAACUCUUCGGAGUUAGUGGCGGACGGGUGAGUAACACGUGGGAACGUGCCUUUAGGUUCGGAAUAACUCAGGGAAACUUGUGCUAAUACCGAAUGUGCCCUUCGGGGGAAAGAUUUAUCGCCUUUAGAGCGGCCCGCGUCUGAUUAGCUAGUUGGUGAGGUAAAGGCUCACCAAGGCGACGAUCAGUAGCUGGUCUGAGAGGAUGAUCAGCCACAUUGGGACUGAGACACGGCCCAAACUCCUACGGGAGGCAGCAGUGGGGAAUCUUGCGCAAUGGGCGAAAGCCUGACGCAGCCAUGCCGCGUGAAUGAUGAAGGUCUUAGGAUUGUAAAAUUCUUUCACCGGGGACGAUAAUGACGGUACCCGGAGAAGAAGCCCCGGCUAACUUCGUGCCAGCAGCCGCGGUAAUACGAAGGGGGCUAGCGUUGCUCGGAAUUACUGGGCGUAAAGGGAGCGUAGGCGGACAUUUAAGUCAGGGGUGAAAUCCCGGGGCUCAACCUCGGAAUUGCCUUUGAUACUGGGUGUCUUGAGUAUGAGAGAGGUGUGUGGAACUCCGAGUGUAGAGGUGAAAUUCGUAGAUAUUCGGAAGAACACCAGUGGCGAAGGCGACACACUGGCUCAUUACUGACGCUGAGGCUCGAAAGCGUGGGGAGCAAACAGGAUUAGAUACCCUGGUAGUCCACGCCGUAAACGAUGAUUGCUAGUUGUCGGGAUGCAUG